RNAcentral lists this ribosomal RNA (497 nucleotides) under uncultured bacterium. Its description in RNAcentral is "partial 16S ribosomal RNA". It matches the Rfam family "Bacterial small subunit ribosomal RNA", at positions 28 to 507 of the family's 1533-position model. The record is from RNAcentral.
GAUGAACGCUGGCGGCGUGCCUAAUACAUGCAAGUCGAGCGAACAGACGAGGAGCUUGCUCCUCUGACGUUAGCGGCGGACGGGUGAGUAACACGUGGAUAACCUACCUAUAAGACUGGGAUAACUUCGGGAAACCGGAUCUAAUACCGGAUAAUAUAUUGAACCGCAUGGUUCAAUAGUGAAAGACGGUUUUGCUGUCACUUAUAGAUGGAUCCGCGCCGCAUUAGCUAGUUGGUAAGGUAACGGCUUACCAAGGCAACGAUGCGUAGCCGACCUGAGAGGGUGAUCGGCCACACUGGAACUGAGACACGGUCCAGACUCCUACGGGAGGCAGCAGUAGGGAAUCUUCCGCAAUGGGCGAAAGCCUGACGUAGCAACGCCGCGUGAGUGAUGAAGGUCUUCGGAUCGUAAAACUCUGUUAUUAGGGAAGAACAAAUGUGUAAGUAACUAUGCACGUCUUGACGGUACCUAAUCAGAAAGCCACGGCUAACUACGUG